CUUUACUGCAGCCUGGAAUUGUGUUCGGGCUUCGCUUGCGCAGGAUAGGUGGGAGGCGUUGAAGCAUUCCUUGUGGGGAGUGUGGAGCCAACAGUGAGAUACCACUCUGGUGAGGCUAGAAUUCUAACCCAAUGCCGUGACCCGGCUUGGGAACAGUUUCAGGCGGGCAGUUUGACUGGGGCGGUCGCCUCCUAAAAGGUAACGGAGGCGCGCAAAGGUUCUCUCAGGCUGGUUGGAAAUCAGCCGUAGAGUGUAAAGGCAUAAGAGAGCUUGACUGCGAGACGUACAGGUCGAGCAGGGUGGAAACACGGCCUUAGUGAUCCGACGGCGCUGCGUGGAAAGGCCGUCGCUAAACGGAUAAAAGUUA
RNAcentral lists this ribosomal RNA (367 nucleotides) under uncultured organism. RNAcentral's name for it is "bacterial LSU rRNA". It matches the Rfam family "Bacterial large subunit ribosomal RNA", at positions 2099 to 2465 of the family's 2925-position model. The record is from RNAcentral.